UGUUGAUGCUAAUCAGCGCUAUCGAGCCCGGAAGGUGUCCAUUGCGGGCGCCGACGAAGAAGAUGCGCGACGAGCUAAAGAUGCUACUGUGCAAGGUGCCCAAAGCGGAAAUAGCCACCAGCAACUGAAUGACCCAGUCAUCAAGGACUCAUCGCGGUUGGAAAUAACUGUGUUGGACAAACCACUGCGACGGCGGAGGAAUCUAAUAUCUCUUCGGGCGUUAACACGAUCAAGUAAGCCACGUUGGUCAUGACGUACACAACCGUGAUGAUGGGCAUCGAGAUCAAUAUAGCCCGCGGAAGAUUUCUAAAUUUAAAAAUUACGUAACAAAAUUCAUUUUCGAUUAAAAAUAAUAAUACUUGUUUGGUUCCCGCACUUCUUCGGCGACGAAAUUCAAACAAUUCCUGCAUUGCGCAAUAAUAAACGAAUAUGGAUGAGAAAAUU
Daphnia pulex (common water flea) is the source of this 444-nucleotide long non-coding RNA. RefSeq lists it as uncharacterized. Lineage: Eukaryota; Metazoa; Arthropoda; Branchiopoda; Diplostraca; Daphniidae. The transcript is spliced from 2 exons. The record is from RefSeq and is a predicted model, not a curated record.